GACGAACGCUGGCGGCGCGCCUAACACAUGCAAGUCGAACGAGAGAGAGGAAGCUUGCUUCCUCAAUCGAGUGGCGAACGGGUGAGUAACGCGUGAGGAACCUGCCUCAAAGAGGGGGACAACAGUUGGAAACGACUGCUAAUACCGCAUGAUACAUUUGGGUGGCAUCAUCUGAAUGUCAAAGAUUUAUCGCUGAAAGAUGGCCUCGCGUCUGAUUAGCUGGUUGGUGAGGUAACGGCCCACCAAGGCGACGAUCAGUAGCCGGACUGAGAGGUUGACCGGCCACAUUGGGACUGAGAUACGGCCCAGACUCCUACGGGAGGCAGCAGUGGGGAAUAUUGGGCAAUGGGCGCAAGCCUGACCCAGCAACGCCGCGUGAAGGAAGAAGGCUUUCGGGUUGUAAACGUUCUUUUAAGAGGGAAGAGCAGAAGACUGUACCUCUAGAUAAGCCACGGCUAACUACGUGCCAGCAGCC
Molecule: ribosomal RNA, 475 nt
Filed under: uncultured bacterium
Lineage: Bacteria
Description: bacterial SSU rRNA
Rfam family: Bacterial small subunit ribosomal RNA
Source: RNAcentral